CGCAUAACUCCAGGAACGUGUUUUUUCUUUUGCAGGGGAGAGCUAUUAAUGUAUGUCCAUUAAGUUGAACCCCUUAGUGACAAGAUCGCUUUUCAAUUUUCUUACCGUUUGGGACCAGGGCUGUUUUUAAAUUUCUGCGGUGUUUGGGUUUAGCUGUCGUUUUCUUACUCAUUUACUGUACCCACAGAUAUUAUAUACUGUUUUUCUCGC
Pelobates cultripes (western spadefoot toad) is the source of this 210-nucleotide non-coding RNA. The record is from the annotation of a GenBank genome assembly. Lineage: Eukaryota; Metazoa; Chordata; Amphibia; Anura; Pelobatidae.